Molecule: ribosomal RNA, 1798 nt
Filed under: Citrobacter braakii
Lineage: Bacteria; Pseudomonadati; Pseudomonadota; Gammaproteobacteria; Enterobacterales; Enterobacteriaceae
Description: bacterial LSU rRNA
Rfam family: Bacterial large subunit ribosomal RNA
Source: RNAcentral
CGGAAGAUGUAACGGGGCUAAACCAUGCACCGAAGCUGCGGCAGCGACACUAUGUGUUGUUGGGUAGGGGAGCGUUCUGUAAGCCGUUGAAGGUGUGCCGUGAGGCAUGCUGGAGGUAUCAGAAGUGCGAAUGCUGACAUAAGUAACGAUAAUGCGGGUGAAAAACCCGCACGCCGGAAGACCAAGGGUUCCUGUCCAACGUUAAUCGGGGCAGGGUGAGUCGACCCCUAAGGCGAGGCCGAAAGGCGUAGUCGAUGGGAAACAGGUUAAUAUUCCUGUACUUGGUGUUACUGCGAAGGGGGGACGGAGAAGGCUAUGUUAGCCGGGCGACGGUUGUCCCGGUUUAAGCAUGUAGGCGGAGAUUCCAGGUAAAUCCGGAGUCUUGUUAACGCUGAGGUGUGAUGACGAGGCACUACGGUGCUGAAGUAACAAAUGCCCUGCUUCCAGGAAAAGCCUCUAAGCAUCAGGUAACACAAAAUCGUACCCCAAACCGACACAGGUGGUCAGGUAGAGAAUACCAAGGCGCUUGAGAGAACUCGGGUGAAGGAACUAGGCAAAAUGGUGCCGUAACUUCGGGAGAAGGCACGCUGAUAUGUAGGUGAAGUGAUUUACUCAUGGAGCUGAAAUCAGUCGAAGAUACCAGCUGGCUGCAACUGUUUAUUAAAAACACAGCACUGUGCAAACACGAAAGUGGACGUAUACGGUGUGACGCCUGCCCGGUGCCGGAAGGUUAAUUGAUGGGGUUAUCCGUAAGGAGAAGCUCUUGAUCGAAGCCCCGGUAAACGGCGGCCGUAACUAUAACGGUCCUAAGGUAGCGAAAUUCCUUGUCGGGUAAGUUCCGACCUGCACGAAUGGCGUAAUGAUGGCCAGGCUGUCUCCACCCGAGACUCAGUGAAAUUGAACUCGCUGUGAAGAUGCAGUGUACCCGCGGCAAGACGGAAAGACCCCGUGAACCUUUACUAUAGCUUGACACUGAACACUGGUCCUUGAUGUGUAGGAUAGGUGGGAGGCUUUGAAGUGUGGACGCCAGUCUGCAUGGAGCCAACCUUGAAAUACCACCCUUUAAUGGCUGGUGUUCUAACGUAGACCCGUGAUCCGGGUUGCGGACAGUGUCUGGUGGGUAGUUUGACUGGGGCGGUCUCCUCCUAAAGAGUAACGGAGGAGCACGAAGGUUAGCUAAUCCUGGUCGGACAUCAGGAGGUUAGUGCAAAGGCAUAAGCUAGCUUGACUGCGAGAGUGACGGCUCGAGCAGGUGCGAAAGCAGGUCUUAGUGAUCCGGUGGUUCUGAAUGGAAGGGCCAUCGCUCAACGGAUAAAAGGUACUCCGGGGAUAACAGGCUGAUACCGCCCAAGAGUUCAUAUCGACGGCGGUGUUUGGCACCUCGAUGUCGGCUCAUCACAUCCUGGGGCUGAAGUAGGUCCCAAGGGUAUGGCUGUUCGCCAUUUAAAGUGGUACGCGAGCUGGGUUUAGAACGUCGUGAGACAGUUCGGUCCCUAUCUGCCGUGGGCGCUGGAGAAUUGAGGGGGGCUGCUCCUAGUACGAGAGGACCGGAGUGGACGCAUCACUGGUGUUCGGGUUGUCAUGCCAAUGGCAUUGCCCGGUAGCUAAAUGCGGAAGAGAUAAGUGCUGAAAGCAUCUAAGCACGAAACUUGCCCCGAGAUGAGUUCUCCCUGACCCUUUAAGGGUCCUGAAGGAACGUUGAAGACGACGACGUUGAUAGGUCGGGUGUGUAAGCGUAGCGAUACGUUGAGCUAACCGAUACUAAUGAACCGUGAGGCUUAACCUUACAACGCCGAAG